UUUGUAUCUGGUGGCAUUAAA
Non-coding RNA from Caenorhabditis elegans, 21 nucleotides. Lineage: Eukaryota; Metazoa; Nematoda; Chromadorea; Rhabditida; Rhabditidae. The record is from Ensembl.